Molecule: long non-coding RNA, 754 nt
Organism: Acomys russatus (golden spiny mouse)
Lineage: Eukaryota; Metazoa; Chordata; Mammalia; Rodentia; Muridae
Exons: 3
Source: RefSeq, a predicted model, not a curated record
CUGAGGCGAGCUGCUGAGCGGGGAGCCCGGGAACACUGAGGCGAAAGCGGAAGGGACCCUGGUGUGAUGAGACCUACGGAUGCAGCCACGUGUUUCUGGGACAGGAAGGCGAUAGUAGUGAAUUAAAUGAAGAUUGAUCCUCCAGCCAUCCAGCCCCAGAGCCUGUUCUCAGCAACACUGUGGCGUCUCUGAAGUGGCCAUCACAGUAGGUACACAUAGCGCUAUCUUAUGCCCUGCCUCCCUUUCAAAGCUAAGAUAGAUGUUGCAGUGGACAUUUGCUGAAAGAUUCCUUUCAUUUUCAAUGGCUACAUUUUUAGUUUUUGUAUUUCAGUAAAAAAUUAAUUAAACCAGGAGAUUCCAUAAAAUUGUAUUUUUCAGUAAGUGAAUUCUGAACUUGAGAAAAUCAGUGAAAUAACAUGUGACUUUCUAGAAUGAUCUUUCCUAUAGAAAUGUUUGCAUCUUGAUGUGCAGAGCACGAUGUAGUACGGAGUUCAGCUCCCUCUUCUAAAACCUGGAAAUUCAGGAGGUUGCAGGAAACACAGGAUUGGUGGAAAUCUGCAUUUUGACUGAAUCUUUUGUUUGAGUCCAGAGGAAGUGGGAACAUUUGGACUCAGUCCCUAAAAACCACAGCUACCAACUGGAAAAAUUCCAAGAAAAGCAAAGGUCAGUGCCACAGCAGUGUGAUCCCUCAGAAGGCUCAGUGGACUUCAGUUUUCCUCCUCAGUGCUGUUCUUAAAGCCGGCCUAAGCCCUGA